Molecule: non-coding RNA, 20 nt
Filed under: Arabidopsis thaliana (thale cress)
Lineage: Eukaryota; Viridiplantae; Streptophyta; Magnoliopsida; Brassicales; Brassicaceae
Source: RNAcentral
UGGCUGCAAAAAUGUAUAUG